UUGAAUUUUUGAAGUAACGAUUUAGUGUACUGAUAGUAAAUCAGUUAUUUGAAUAGGAGUUAACGGCUUUAUUAUUAAUUUUCUAUCCGUUGAUAGUUAGAUUGAAAUAUAUUGAAUAAAGGUUGUUUGUUGCUUAUUAUAUACUGUUGAAAUUGUAAACAGUUUGCGGUGAGGUGCACUUCACUAACUGGCCAUUUAUUUUAACAACUAUAAUACUUGUGUAUCCCUUCAGGAUUUGUAACUGGAAUUUAUUAUCACUUUAUUCAACCUGCUAUUUUAUACCAGCCAGUUAUUACAACCACUGUAUUUGUAUAUUCCUUCUGGAUCUGUGGUUUAGGUCAAUCUUCUUGUUUACUUGGUUAUUUGUCUUGUUUAUUAUCUGGUAUAUUUGGAGUUUGUUGAACUCCGUUUACGUUUAGUUUUGGUAUUGAAGCUUUAGGUUUAGCCUAAGCCAAGUGUGGCUGAUAUAAAUAUCCUGUUUUCAGGAUUAGUUUAGGCAUUAUAGGUUGUAGGAAGCCCUUCGGGCAUUUGUUGUUAUAAUUUAUAGGAAGCCCUUCUGGCAUUUAUUUAGUGUUAGGUUAAGUUUUUGGGAAGCUCUUCUAGCUUUUGGGUAACUAAGAGAUUUCUUUGUCAUUAUUUUUUUUUUUUAUUAUCAACCACUGCAUUAAUUUUAAUUUUAUUAAACGUUUGACUUGA
Harmonia axyridis is the source of this 696-nucleotide long non-coding RNA. RefSeq lists it as uncharacterized. The transcript is spliced from 2 exons. The record is from RefSeq and is a predicted model, not a curated record. Lineage: Eukaryota; Metazoa; Arthropoda; Insecta; Coleoptera; Coccinellidae.